RNAcentral lists this ribosomal RNA (2145 nucleotides) under Triticum aestivum (bread wheat). Its description in RNAcentral is "partial small subunit ribosomal RNA". Lineage: Eukaryota; Viridiplantae; Streptophyta; Magnoliopsida; Poales; Poaceae. The record is from RNAcentral.
AUGCGCACGGCUAUAUACCCCGGGAAAUUUCCGGGAGCACGCGUACCAAGCGAAGACCCGAGAGUCAUCGUGCUAGCUCUCCGAAGUUUCCGGGAAAUUUGGCCACACCAGGCUGUGUAUCGACCUAGAUAUAAACCAACCGAUGAACAAGUAAUUUACACCCUGCUAAGCACUACCAGUGAGUUCUUAGCCUCGCGCAUGGGCAUGGAGUUGCCGGCGACAAGGCGCUUGCUCGUGUUCCUCUCUUUGCUCACGCUUUGGAGCAUCACCGUCGACGGUGCGUCGCCAGCUGCCGCCGCCAGCGCGGUGGCGCGGGAGGCGACGGCGCCUGCGCCGGUGCGGUUCGGCGUGGGGAGCAGGAGCCUGACCUGCAAUUCCGUGGAGAUCCUGGAUGCGUUCUACCUGAAGCAACCAAGCUGCGCCAACUGGGCGGACCUGCGAGCGAAGGAUUCCCGCGGAGAGGCCGUCGCCGCAGCACACGCUGCCGAGGACCUGAUCAAGAAUGCCCAGGUGCAAGCCAUCAUAUGGGGCCUUCAGACACUGAACAAUGCAGAUCACAUCCCACACCUGGCCGACCACAACAACAUUCCGGCUCUCUCCUUCUACCGCAGUGAUGCCUUCUGGCAAGAAGAUCCUGUAAACGAUUCCGCGGGCCUUACACUUGGAUCAAAUGACACCAUGAUGUUUCUUCAUCUAAGAACCGAGAAAAUAGACGGCAUGAAACUGGAUACGAGAAAUUCAAGACAAGAUCAUGAAGGUCAGACGAUGCUGAAAGAUUUUGCGAAUGUUAUUUAUCCUAUUUUCGAGAAACAAAACAUCAGCUGCUUGUACGGUACUGUCGAAGAUACGGCGAGGCCAGUUUCUAGUCCGCUCUAUAACCGUCUCCGAGAUCCUCACCCAUCCUAUCGGAAACGACGAGCCUCUUCCACGACGUUGCUUAGUGGUGAGCACUAUGAUGAGCUUGUAUGCAGCGUGUCUCCCAGGAUGAAUUUGGGAGUGGGCGGUGUGCCAUACGCACAGUCUGGUGCGUCUAUGAUUGUGCUCGUCAAGGAUGAACCAUAUACAAUCAGCUGGACAUUUGUAAAGCCACUAAGUAGGAAUCUUUGGUUUGCAACCAUUAUCUUUUUCUUCUAUACUGGCAUUGUUGUGUGGAUGAUUGAACUACCGAGAAAUCCGGAGUACCAAGGAUCAAGUUUGAGACAAUGUAGCACUGCCCUCUACUUUGUUUUCUCUACUUUGACGUUUUCUCAUGGUCAAAUUAUUAGAAGCCCCUUGUCAAAAAUUGUCGUGGUAAUAUGGUGCUUUGUAGUGCUGAUUCUGAUACAGAGCUACACAUCAAGCUUGUCAUCCAUAUUAACCACAGAGAGGCUCCGUCCUUGGGUGAUUGAUCUAGACCAGCUCCAAGGCAGUGGGGAUUUUUUAGGAUACCAAGAUGAUUCAUGUGUGCGGUCCUUCUUGAUGAAUUAUCAAAAUAUCAGUGAAAGUAGGUUAAAAACCUACACAACGAAGGAGGAAUAUGCUGCCGCUUUGAGGAAGGGGUCCAAGAAUGGAGGGGUGCCGGCUAUCGUCGGUGCGAUCCCCUAUUUAACAUCUUUCCUCUCUGAUAGUCGGUACAAAGAUGAUUUUAUGAUGCUUGGUUGCAUAUACACGACUCCUGGAUCUGGUUUUACAUUUCGUCUAGGGUUUCCGCUAGUGCAAAACCAUUCAACUACCAUCCUGAACCUAUCAGAAGGGGUUAGCGACUCACAACUAAAAGUGAGCUGUUUUGGCACCACUUCAGUGUUGAUGGGUGAUGACACAGUUCCUGACUUUGGUUCUGCACCUCUCACUUUGCAAAACUUCUCGGGGCUCUUCAUCAUCACUGGAUCCAUUUCAACUGUCAUGAUACUGAUAGCCAUUGUGAGGUUGGUUUAUGCCAAAUGCACCAGGCCGAGAAACACCGACAUGGAAAGCGCCACGGAUAAUAGUGUCGAAGAGGAUCCCCGUUCGAUGCAGAACGGCUUGGACGACAACCCUAGCCCUAGCCAGCAACUCCUCCACGAAGCCGGAGAAGAUAAUUUCCAAGGUGUGCGUGAGGGUAGCCAAAAUGAUGGGGGUGCACUGGUGGAAAAAGGGCCUUUGGUCGCGGUUCGCAACUGCCAUUAG